RNAcentral lists this ribosomal RNA (420 nucleotides) under bacterium. RNAcentral's name for it is "partial 16S ribosomal RNA". It matches the Rfam family "Bacterial small subunit ribosomal RNA", at positions 355 to 776 of the family's 1533-position model. The record is from RNAcentral.
UGGGGGAUAUUACACAAUGGGCGAAAGCCUGAUGCAGCGACGCCGCGUGGGGGAUGAAGGCUUUCGGGUUGUAAACCUCUUUCGCUAUCGAACAAGGCCCGCUUAGGGUGGGUUGAGGGUAGGUGGAGAAGAAGAGCCGGCUAACUACGUGCCAGCAGCCGCGGUAAUACGUAGGGCGCGAGCGUUGUCCGGAAUUAUUGGGCGUAAAGGGCUUGUAGGCGGCUUGUUGCGCCUGCUGUGAAAACGCGGGGCUUAACUUCGCGCGUGCAGUGGGUACGGGCAGGCUUGAGUGUGGUAGGGGUGACUGGAAUUCCAGGUGUAGCGGUGGAAUGCGCAGAUAUCUGGAGGAACACCGAUGGCGAAGGCAGGUCACUGGGCCAUUACUGACGCUGAGGAGCGAAAGCAUGGGUAGCGAACAGG